AGUGGCAAAUUUUUUCAGAACUCUAUAGAGUUAAUGUCGAAAUCAAAGUUAUUUUGGUUAAUUUUUUUACCUUUAGCUUUGUCACCAUCUGCUAUGGUUGUCCAAUCAACUCAGCCUUCCACUGAUAACAUCCAUUUUGUUUUUAGUUCCAUCU
Molecule: non-coding RNA, 154 nt
Organism: Hydra vulgaris (swiftwater hydra)
Lineage: Eukaryota; Metazoa; Cnidaria; Hydrozoa; Anthoathecata; Hydridae
Source: RefSeq, a predicted model, not a curated record